GACGAACGCUGGCGGCGUGCUUAACACAUGCAAGUCGAACGGAAAGGCCCUGCUUUUGUGGGGUGCUCGAGUGGCGAACGGGUGAGUAACACGUGGGUAACCUGCCCUUGACUUGGGGAUAACUUCAGGAAACGGGGGCUAAUACCGGAUAGGAGCUCCUGCUGCAGGGUGGGGGUUGGAAAGUUUCGGCGGUUGGGGAUGGACUCGCGGCUUAUCAGCUUGUUGGUGGGGUAGUGGCUUACCAAGGCUUUGACGGGUAGCCGGCCUGAGAGGGUGACCGGCCACAUUGGGACUGAGAUACGGCCCAGACUCCUACGGGAGGCAGCAGUGGGGAAUAUUGCACAAUGGGCGGAAGCCUGAUGCAGCAACGCCGCGUGCGGGAUGACGGCCUUCGGGUUGUAAACCGCUUUCGCCUGUGACGAAGCGUGAGUGACGGUAAUGGGUAAAGAAGCACCGGCUAACUACGUG
Molecule: ribosomal RNA, 468 nt
Filed under: uncultured bacterium
Lineage: Bacteria
Description: partial 16S ribosomal RNA
Rfam family: Bacterial small subunit ribosomal RNA
Source: RNAcentral